RNAcentral lists this long non-coding RNA (205 nucleotides) under Trifolium pratense (red clover). RNAcentral's name for it is "long non-coding RNA (TPRA_LNC006057)". The record is from RNAcentral. Lineage: Eukaryota; Viridiplantae; Streptophyta; Magnoliopsida; Fabales; Fabaceae.
UGUUUCUGCUUCUGCCGACAAUGACCUAUCGGCUUCUUCUCACAAAACACCCGUGUAAAGAAUUGCUGUGAAGCCAUUAACCGUUGAUCCUACCAACCUCGAAUCGCAGUUCUCAUCAACCAGAUCUGGCAAGGUGAUUAAAAAGGAGAAGAUUUAAUCUAACUAUGCAGACUAUCUUGAAAUGUGGUUUUGAUUUAUCUUUUUG